Molecule: ribosomal RNA, 253 nt
Filed under: uncultured bacterium
Lineage: Bacteria
Description: partial 16S ribosomal RNA
Rfam family: Bacterial small subunit ribosomal RNA
Source: RNAcentral
UACGUAGGGUGCGAGCGUUGUCCGGAAUUACUGGGCGUAAAGAGCUCGUAGGUGGUUUGUCGCGUUGUCCGUGAAAACUCACAACUCAAUUGUGGGCGUGCGGGCGAUACGGGCAGACUGGAGUACUGCAGGGGAGACUGGAAUUCCUGGUGUAGCGGUGGAAUGCGCAGAUAUCAGGAGGAACACCGGUGGCGAAGGCGGGUCUCUGGGCAGUAACUGACGCUGAGGAGCGAAAGCUAGGGGAGCGAACGGG